This 460-nucleotide ribosomal RNA is filed under the name Epicoccum nigrum. Its description in RNAcentral is "eukaryotic LSU rRNA". The stretch from base 104 to 257 matches the Rfam family "5.8S ribosomal RNA". The record is from RNAcentral. Lineage: Eukaryota; Fungi; Ascomycota; Dothideomycetes; Pleosporales; Didymellaceae.
GUCUUUUGAGUACCUUCGUUUCCUCGGCGGGUCCGCCCGCCGAUUGGACAACAUUCAAACCCUUUGCAGUUGCAAUCAGCGUCUGAAAAAACAUAAUAGUUACAACUUUCAACAACGGAUCUCUUGGUUCUGGCAUCGAUGAAGAACGCAGCGAAAUGCGAUAAGUAGUGUGAAUUGCAGAAUUCAGUGAAUCAUCGAAUCUUUGAACGCACAUUGCGCCCCUUGGUAUUCCAUGGGGCAUGCCUGUUCGAGCGUCAUUUGUACCUUCAAGCUCUGCUUGGUGUUGGGUGUUUGUCUCGCCUCUGCGUGUAGACUCGCCUUAAAACAAUUGGCAGCCGGCGUAUUGAUUUCGGAGCGCAGUACAUCUCGCGCUUUGCACUCAUAACGACGACGUCCAAAAGUACAUUUUUACACUCUUGACCUCGGAUCAGGUAGGGAUACCCGCUGAACUUAAGCAUAU